CGUGUGCGCCGGCCCGCUUCCCUUUGCUGUCUUGCACGGUGCGCCGCCUGCUUUGUUUCCUGGUUACGUAUCAGAGGGCAGAAUUCACAAGGUAGGCUCUGCGCACAUCCCACGUGCUGAUAUCGCGAAAGCGAAGGCCUCGAACAAGUGAAGGCCGCUUUAACUGUCGUUUCCGACGCUGUGCCUCAAAAAAAAACAUUGUUUAGGGGCCUUUUUCUUGCGGCUUCACGCGGCGCUGUUGACGCGGUUUGUUCUUUAUUUGUGGGAUUCCCGAUCCCGUCCGCACCCCGCCGGUGUGCAGCCAUGACGCUGUACUCCAUCUACGUGUUCAACCGAUACGGGGACACCAUCUACACAAAGCAGUGGAAGCGUACCAGCGCCGUGCAGCACGGCGAGGACGGUCUCGUCGCUGGCUUUGUCUACACCCUCCAGCACAUCAGCUCACAGUUGUCCUCCACCCAGGCCGGCGGCCUGCGGGCCGUGCACACGCCGCUGUACAAAGUACACUACUCGGAGACAAUGACGGGCUACCGCGUUGCACUCUUUACGGACAACGCCAUGAGCACGGCGGUCGUGCAAGGCGCGUUGACGGAGCUCCUCAAAGACGUGUUUAUCCGUACCGUGACGAAGAACCCGUCGUACCGACACGAGAAGGGCAUGCUCGUCACCGGAACAGGUUUUGAGGAUGCCAUGGAGGCGCUCUUUCGACGAAAAAAGCUGCUUACUUGAGCACGUUCCGAUUCCUCACCUUCGAAGGCGUUGGUGGUGGUGUAUGUGUGUGUGGGGAGGGUGUGUCUUGCGUGCCUCUGCCAAUUCCUCGAUGCCCUUGCGGGGCUUGUGUUGUCAUUCGUGGGGGACAUCUCCCCAAUGUUGCACUCCUUGCCUUCCUCUCGUCCAGGGACGACGACGUGGAGGAGAGGAGGAAGGAAACCACGGCGCAGCAAGACAUCCAGAAAGCGUGAAAAAAAAGCCGCGUUUUGUCUAUCCUCUCUGAUAGGACGCCAGGCACACCAUGGGCCGGGACGUGCUACAGACAUGGCGAUUCUCGUAGGCGCGAUGGCAGUCUUGCCCAUCAAUCCUGCACGAUUGUACUGCCGGCUCCGCUUUUUUUUUGGUGCCUUUUGGGUUCCGUCGUGGAGAGCCUCACUGGGGACGGCCGAUGGGGUGCCGCCCAAUCCUCUGCAUGUUUUCGUUUCCUGCCGAUUUUCCCUAUUUUGCAUGAGGGAAACUUCUUCCUUUUUUUCGCAUGCAAGUUGUGCGUUACUGCUCACGCCGCCCUCUACUCGCUCAUACAUCUGCACGCCAUCUUCCUCCCUCCUCCGCCUGUGCGUAUCCUUCACAUUGGCCCAACGCUGCAG
This 1358-nucleotide unclassified non-coding RNA is filed under the name Leishmania donovani. RNAcentral describes it as "gene:LdHU3.35.3770(CDS-product:Sybindin-like_fami ly_putative)". Lineage: Eukaryota; Euglenozoa; Kinetoplastea; Trypanosomatida; Trypanosomatidae. The record is from RNAcentral.